GGCCUAGUGGCGAAAGGUCCGCGUCUGCGAUACUUGAGCCUGUAGAUUCAUUGCAAUGAUCUUACGCAGAAUAUGCUUGUUCGAAUCGAGCCUGGGCCA
Molecule: non-coding RNA, 99 nt
Organism: Mycena rebaudengoi
Lineage: Eukaryota; Fungi; Basidiomycota; Agaricomycetes; Agaricales; Mycenaceae
Source: the annotation of a GenBank genome assembly